Non-coding RNA from Zootermopsis nevadensis, 1569 nucleotides. The record is from RefSeq and is a predicted model, not a curated record. Lineage: Eukaryota; Metazoa; Arthropoda; Insecta; Blattodea; Termopsidae.
AGUGAGGUAAUCGAACCACUCAUCAGGGAUUCAGAAGAAACGGAUGUCGACAGUAAGAGGUGCUUGUUGCCGCCAUCGACACCCUGAAACAUCUGCCAUACUACAGCAAGCCGGAAGACGACCAUUUUCAUAUUAGCCGCCAGCUUUCCGGCAUAUUGCGCCUGUAGUAUCAUAAGUUGACCAACGCUUCGGAGGUGCGUACUGCCUCCGUCAUCAGGACGAUGAUGAUGGCCAUCUGUAUUGCUGAAAGCUGCCGAUAGGUGUUCGAAAAUUUACAAUGGCACUGAGCAUUUGGGGAAACUUCAGAGUGUAAUAUAUACACGUCAAACGUAUGAGAGAGCAACAUGAACAGAAUGAUUUGCACAAAUUCACGACUGUCAAAUGAGAUGAUUAGAAGCGAUUAAUUUGUCAUCGGAUAGCUGCUAGUGACGGUCUCUGGUGAACAAGGUAAUGAACUUUCGGGUUCUGUAAAUAUCUCUCCAUUCUCGAGGACUUUGCCCUUUUAUAGACAGUACCGUAAUUUAUAUUGGUGUAUAGUUGCAAUCAAAAAUGGUAUUUAGGUAAAAACACUUCCCAUAAACAUUUUAUAUUUCCCAUAAUUAAGCUGCUUAUUUAUAAAUAUAUGAUUCGCUGUAAAAUGUGUCAUAAACACUAAAAUAAACUAAAUUAUUUCACAUUCGUCAUGUUUUUGUUUGUCUGAGUAUCGUUUAAGUGGAGUUCAUGAACUGGCGUCCACUUGGUUAAUGUUUUUAGGAUUAUCCAUAUAAUUUCUGUACCUAACCAAAUGCUUUCUAAGAAUAGGACUCUGCCAGCUGACACACGCUUGGCGCUGGUUCACUUUGACCAGCUUGCUGUACCACUCUCUCUUUCGUAUGUACUACGCAUUUCAAAAACGUUUUGUAUCCUCAGGCUAUAAAAAUAAUACUGAUGACUGUACACAAUAUAUAUUAAUGAUUCUAAAAGGACUUUACAACUUUGAAGGUAUCUAGAAAUUUAAUCAGAAACCUUACAUAAUCAUUUGAGGUGUCAGAUUUCUAUACACUUUCAAAGAUGUAAAGUCCUUUUAGAAUCAUCCUGUAUAUUAAUGAUUCUUAUCGAUAUUAGAAUGUAAUCGAAUAGCUUGGGAACAAACUACUUUUUGAGGCCAGAUAUCAAAAGCUUUUUCAGUUCCUUGGUGUAAAGAGGAGGGUUCUGAGGAAUAUAUUUGCGCCCAGGAGUGAUGAACUGACUGGAGAUCGCAAAGAAUUACACAGUCAAGAGCUUGACAAUUAGUGCUGUUCCCGAAAUAAUUUUGGAAUAACGAAGUCGACGAUGAAGUCGGCAGAGUGAAGAUCAGAAAUUCGUACGUUUUGUUUGGAAAGCCAGAAAGGAGAGGCCAACCUGCGGGCUUAGGUGUAGGUGCGAGAAUAAUACCAUUAAUGAAAUUAAUCGUAGGGAAAUGAAUUUGGGAGUGGAAACUUCUCCCUGUUGUUUAUUAUUAUUGUCAUCAUUUUAUAAGUUUUUUUUGUUUUGUUUUAUAUAGUAUUAUUAAUUGAAUUAUAUGACUUAGGUAUAUUUAGUUUAUUUACU